GUCUUCUGUUAGUGUGUUUUCCUGACAGGACUGUUUUGCUGUCGUCUUUGGUUUCUUUUUGUCAAGUGCAUGUAUUGUAUAACAUAAUGUCCUAGGUGUGUCAUCUGAUGAAGAUCAUCAAAGAUUAGUGCUGCAUUUAGCUGUCUUCUGGGUUUUUGUGACAUUAUAUGCUAGCUUGAAAAAUGGGUGUCUGAUUAUUUCUGGCUGGGUACUCUGCUGACAUAAUCUAAUGUUUUGCUUUCGUUGUAAAGCCUUUUUGAAAUCGGACAGUGUGGUUAGAUUAACGAGAGUCUUGUCUUUAAAAUGCUGUAAAAUAGUUAUGUUUGAGAAAUUGAAGUAAUAGCAUUUCUAAGGUUUUUGAAAAUCGCGCCACAGGAUUCAACUGGCUGUUACGCAGGUGGGACGAUUUGGUGCCACCUAGCCCAGAGAGGUUAAGGUAGAGAAAUGAACAUUAAAUUCUAUGGCAACAGCUAAGGUGGACAUUCCUGCAGUCGGCAUGCCAAUUGCACGCUCCCUCUAAACUGGACAUCUGUGGCUUUAUGUUGUGUGACAAUACUGUGCAUUUUAGAGUGGCCUUUUAUCGUCCCCAGCACAAGAUGCACCUGUGUAAUGAUUAUACUGUUUAAUCAGCUUCUUGAUAUGCCACACCUGUCAGAUGGAUGGAUUAUCUUGGCAUAGGAGAAAUGCUCACUAACAGGGAUGCAACAAAUUUGUGUACAACAUUUGAGAGAAAUUGUGCGUAUGGAACCUUUCUAGGAUCUUUUAUUUUCAGUUCAUGUAACAUGGGACCAACACUUUACAUGUUACAUUUAUAUUUUUGCUCAGUGUAUGUCCUCAUCAGUCAAACAAUAGCUGGGAAAAAGACAGUCAGGACCACAGAGUCUACUUUCACUGAACCACAGGUGUAUAAAGGUGCUCCUCUCUCUCCAUCUGAGCAGAACCUACGUUAUCUACCUGUGAUUCACUCUACAGCAAACUAUCACCAUGGCGAUGAUGACCAUUCUUCUGCUUCUCAGCGCUGCCUUGGCUUUGGGCAACGCAAAGCCCUUACAGGAGGCCAAUGAUGUGGAUCAACUCCUUGCUUUUGAGGCUAAGGGGGUGGAGGAGCUGCAGGAGUUGCAGGAGGUGCAGGAGGAUGAGCAGGAGGUGCAGGAGGAGGAGGAGGAGGAGGAGCAGGAGGUGCAAGAGGAGGUGGGGGUAGAGAGCAGGAGCUUGUGUCCCUCAGGCUGGACCAAAUACGGAUCCUGCUGUUUGAUGUUUGUUGGUGGCCCCAGCACAUGGAUUGAGGCAGAGGUACAGUGAACACAUAUCUGUAUCAGCAAACUUUAGACGCCAUUGUUGUUUUAAUAACAAUUAUAACUUGUAAGUAGAAUACAAUACAAGCACAAUUACUCUGUAUUCUAUUCUCUGUCUGAAAUGUCUCUGCCCCUCUUGCGGUACUGUGUGCACUUUGGAGCGAACCUGGCGUCAGUUCACAACUCCCAGGAGUAUCAUUUUCUGCAGGAGCUGGUUAGGAACCAUACCAAUGGGUUCCCAGGCACCUGGAUCGGAGGCUCUGAUGCCGUCUCUAACACAAUAUGGCUUUGUAGCGACGGGUCCAGGUUUGAUUACCAUGGCUGGAACCCAGGAGAGCCUAGCAACAACAACAGAGAGAGAUGCCUAGAGAUGAACUUUGGCGGUAAAGGAUAUGGCUAUAUAUACAGUAUAUCAACCAUUGUAUAGCAGAGUACCACCUUGUUGUGUAGUUGUUCUUAGUAAAAAGAGUGUAAUACAGUGUGAGAAAUAUGUGAAACCUGGGCUUGUUUAUUCAUAUUUUGUCUCGUAGUCUUACAAUGCAUACAAUGCUUUCUGUAUCUGUUUUUCUCUCCCUAAACCCAUAACUUCUGUGUACUCUUAAAAUGGCACACAUAUAUUUAACAUACACAUCAAACACCUAUUUUGGCAAAUAAAAAUAGUAUAAAGAUAUUUUAGGGUAUACAGUGCAUAUAUUGACUUGUGUAUUUUCUCUCUACAGUACUUAAGCGCUGGAACAACAAACCCUGUCACUACACACUACCCUCCAUCUGCUCUAAAAGACUAUGCUAGAUGAACC
Molecule: long non-coding RNA, 2092 nt
Filed under: Salmo salar (Atlantic salmon)
Lineage: Eukaryota; Metazoa; Chordata; Actinopteri; Salmoniformes; Salmonidae
Description: lncRNA (ENSSSAG00000085430.1)
Source: RNAcentral